Molecule: long non-coding RNA, 4976 nt
Organism: Falco peregrinus (peregrine falcon)
Lineage: Eukaryota; Metazoa; Chordata; Aves; Falconiformes; Falconidae
Exons: 2
Source: RefSeq, a predicted model, not a curated record
AAAACCUCAAAAUUGCCAUUAAUAGCCUCUCUAAGCACAACUAUGUUGUGCUUUGGUGAUCUCUUUCUUCUAAUGGAAUAUACCUAGUUUUGAAACAAGUACUCUGUACCACAGAAAAGCCAAUUCUCUCCUUUUAAUAAAAGCUUUAAUUUCUAGCUGUGAUACAUUGCACAAUAUCAAACUAAAAUCAGAAGUUAACACAGGUUUAGGACUAGGAUCUUGGCUGUCUUGAACUUCAGAUCAGGACAGAUACUCAGAGGUGUUAGCAGAAAACAGGAAUUGCCUGUGGAAAGAGCAGUUACGCUGCCAAGUGUGGUUUUGUUUGCUUGUACUGCUCUUUGUCUAUAAACUACAGACAGGGAUAAAGAUGCAGAUACAGAUACGUGCCUGUUUGCCCUAGUAUUUACUCACCUUCUCAGUAAGGUUUGUAGCUGAGCACUAUACAUUUGAGAUAACAGCAGAUGAACUAGGGAAUACAAAGCCUGCAUGGGAAUACCUUCAUGGCUCUGCAGUCAUGGCAGUGAUUGUGCUCCAGGCAUACUCCAAAGAGUUGACUGGUGGAGCUGCAUCAUAACAGUGAAAUACCAGAAGUCAUCUGGUCUCAAGGAAGCAGAUGAGUGAGCGAAGCUGAAGUGAAGGACAUAGUAUUGAUAGGUGGGGCUGUUGUAAGCUUGUACAUAGGCCCCUCAAGUAUCUGGCUGUUGGACACACGGGCAGGGUUGCCCUGGAGGAAGGGUUGAAAGGAAACAAGAGCUGAGAAAUGAAGGAAAAGUGGUACGUACUGUCAGGGUAGAGCAUGGGCCACAGACCAGAGCAGGGACAAGUGGAAUGUGGAGCAGACUGUGAUGUGGUGCUCUCAAACUGGGACUAGAGUUUUUACAUCAUCUUUACGAGAAGAUGUAAAAGAGAGGGUAAGAGGAAAGGAAGAAGUAAGGCUGGAUGGAAAGAGACUAGGAUGGAGAAAAGGCAGUUUUGAAGAAGACUAGGAGAAGGAAAAAUAGUAGGAAGCUGAAUGGGCUGUGCUGGAAGUAAACAGGAAGAAUCAUGUACUUCAGACCUAAUAAAAGUGCAUCUCUCUGGAUUCCCCACACCCACUCACCCUCUGCCACCAGUCCUCCUCUGUCAGCAAAUACCUGUGAAUCCCACAACAAAGUAAAUUUGUCUGAUAUUCCUCCUGUCCGCACAUGGAUGACAACCCACCGCUCUUACCAGUUUUCCUGUUAGCUCAGAGUGUCAGAGCUCUGCGGUAAAGCUAAAGGCUUCAGCCCUAAUGACAUUUACAACAACAUGAUGCUGCACAAUGGAAGGGGUUUUGAUAUUAUUAUUUUUUUUACUGUUUGCUUUUUUAAAAGCUAGAUAAUUGCACAUAUAAAAUCUGCUUUAAAUGAGGAUUAGGUUGCAAAAUCAAUACUACAUAAUGAGGAGUGUUAUUUUCUCCUUCCUCUCCUUUGGAUAUGCAUAUGCAAAGUAUAUAAUUGCAUACUUUUCUUUCCGUGGGAUCUCAGCCACAUUUAUUUUUCAGGGUGGAGCUGCUCUGGAGCUGUGUCAGGACUACAUAGUGGAGGAGACUGCUGUCUACAGGACUUUUUCCACAUUUGUUUCAGCAAAUGGAAGAUGUGCAGUAAAUGACAGAACAGGAUCAUGUGAAAAAGGAUAAGCUCUUGGUUAAAACAGCUGAACUCUGCCUUAGGAAUGGAUUCAGUCCCUCCUUUGCCACAUAGUUCUUGUAUGAUGCUGGAUAAAUCAGUUAAACCACGCUUCUUGCAGGUGGCCACAGAUUUCAUUCUCCUAGUUUCUGGGUAUCUGAAUUGACAUUUUGUGGUCUAAUUUGCAGAAGUGCUGAAUGAUCACAGAUGAAACUGAACUCAGUUGGUGCUAGACAUAUAAAGUGCUCUGAAUGAAGAGCCUAUCAACUUCUUGAAAUGUUCACUUGAAAUAUUAACUGUGUCAAACCAAGUAAACAGAAUCUACAAAACCUUAAACUACAGAUAAUUCUAACCCAAGCCCAUCCCAAAGCAAUCACACCCAAGAGGUAACAAAAUGUAUUUAUGGCUGGUGAUUCUUUUCUAUGGAAAGGAGAGGAAGAGGCAUCUUUCUGCUGUUCAGUCUGAUACCCAAGGAGGUGUCCUGCCCACCAAAACCCUAAAUUCAAGAUGAUACGCUAAGGUUGCUGUACCUCACCUGGCCCUCUCACAGAGAAGCUCUACUGCUUCUUUGAAUGUGUGUUAAUGGUUCUGCCAGCAGAAAUAAUAAACUAUUAUCAGUUGACUUAAUGUCUAAGGCCAAAUAACAGAAAGAACAUAACAGACUACUUCAGUAAGUCAGUUAUUUUCAAAUCAGCCAGACCUGACAGAAACCAACUGAGACCACAUGGGAAACUGGCUGAAGCAAUCCUAGAGCCAUGAGGGACCCUUACCCACAGCACCUGGGGAACAGAAGACCAGUGACAGGUGAUUGCAGUAUGCAUUUUUAAAAAAGAAGAAAAGCAGCUUGAGGAAUAUAGGCAGAGAAAACAGCCUAACUUGAAUUGCUGGAAAUAUAUUGAAACAAAUAAUUAAACAAAGUUUUCUUUUGUGUAUGGGAAAUAAUGAAAUGAUAAGUAGAGGCCAAGAAAGAUUUGCCAGGAACAAAUCAUGCUGAACCAAGCUAAUUUCCUCCUCUGACAAGUAGCAGGUCUUGUGGACAAUAGAUAUUACAUAUCUCGACUUGAACAAGCCUUUCAACACCGUCUCUUGUGAUUUCUUGUAAGCGAGCUAAAACGGAACUAUUGUAAGGUGAACUCAUAGCUGCUUGAAAAAAAAAAUACUAGAAGAGGAAUUAUUGUCCGUUCACUGUUGAAGUGGAAGAAUUACAGAAAGCAGUUCCACAGAUGCCCUUCCUGGGACUCAUACCAUUCACUGUUUUCAUUGUGUUUUGGAAGAUGGCAUAUCAAGCAUGGCUACCAAAUUUGUAGAGAAAGAUCUAUAAGCACCUUGGCAGGAUUAGUAUCUUGCUCAGUUGAAGAAAUGGUCUGAAAACAAUAGGAUUUGGUGCUUUAAGAAACUAUUUUAUUAGUUAAGUGUAAACUAUUACACUUAAGUAAGAAUAAACCCCCAAAUGGAAAGCAGCCAGCAAGGCAAAAGACCUGCACAAAAAUGCCUUGGGGAUUUUGGAAGAGUUCAAGCUAAGAAUUAACAAUGCCAUACUUGCUUUGGAAAACCAAGUAUUGUGCUGAAAUCGGCUAGGUGAAAGAUGUGAAAUAAUUUUUCCACUCCUACUCAGCACUGGUGAGGUCUCAAACUGGAAAAUGGACUGAUUCACUUUGGUCACUAAACUCAAGGGGCAAAUGGACAAUUAGGGAAAGUCCUGAGAGCAACAAAAAGUACAAAAAUUCUUUAAAAACUGACCUUGGAGGGAAUCUGAAAGAACUAUUUGUUUAAUCUAGAGAAAAGAGGACUGAGAAGAAACAUGAUAACAGUCUUCAAAUAUGUAAAAGGUAGUUGCUCGGUGAAAGGCAGUAGGUAACUCUCAAUGCUUAGAGGGGAGCAGGGAGCUUAAAUAGUAUCUAGAGUUACAGUUUCUGCUACAUAUGUAAGGAAAAGCUUCCUAGGUAGGUGGCUAAGAAAGCCUUGAUGCCAGUGGAGGUCACUGAGUCUUCAGCACUGAUGGUUUUAAACACAGCUGAAAAAGGCAUCAUUUAUGUAUUGUUGGGCAUGUUUGAGAAGGGGGGUGCUAGACCCAAGGACAACAGCUUGUGAGGCAAGUGUACAUGAUAAUUUGCAGACAUGUGUUUGAAAGGCAUAUGUAGCAUGGCAUGUAGUCAUAGCGUCGUGAGAGUGUCGUCAUUAGAUAAAGCAUCUCUCGGCUCCCAGUAAGUUCUUUCCAGCCCAUGGAACCUCAAAGCAGAGAAAAAUAUAUCAGAUCUAAUAUGCAAACUUUCAAAUAUUUCUGACCCCUAGAUAAUUUCUUGAGGUCUCUUCCUACCUUCUACAAUUGUAAAUAGAAAUAGGCUUUGCCAGAAUGGCUGAAUUACAGCUGCAGUGGUUUCCUGUUACAGAUGAAAAACAGAUAUUAAGCCUUCAUUGGUAACUUAUGCAAAAAAAAAAACCAAAAAACCACCAAAACAAAACCAAAAACUAAUCUACUACAUCAUGUGCAUUUCUGGCAAAAGGAGCUUGAAAUCCCAUCACCUGGGAGACAACCACAUACUAGCAUUUCUCCUUUAUGAGAGGACUGAAAGGUUUUGUCAUGAACCUGAAAGACUGUUUUUGUUGCAUUGCUUUGCAAACAUUUGGGAGGCAACAGUCCUUGUCUUUGUCCUGGGGGCCUGCUGUUCUGAAUAGUCAAGCCAAGAAAAUGGUGUGAGAAACAGCAAAGGUACAAAGAGGGGGAAAUGACACGCAUCAAGCUGCACAAAACGUGUAUAACAUGAAUGGGAGUAAAACCUAGGUCUUUCUGGUGUUGACACCAGUACCACCCAUCUUCUUGCACUGCUGUCCUACUGUAACAGUACUGAUUUCAACAGUAAGACUUCCUUUUGACAAAACUUGUAUGGAGGUUGCAUUUUAUGUUGGCAAUGACCAUAGACUGUGCAUAUUGCUAAGGCAUCCUUCUAGUGCUAUGAAAGUGAUAAUGUAAUUCUGUGCAAUUAAAAUGAUGCCUCCUACAUGCAUAAUGCCACUCCCUAGCUUUACAGCUGUUUGCCAUGUUCUCUGUGAGGGCAUUUGCUGAUAAUAAAUUGUGUUGUGGAAAUAUAAUAACAUGAGCAAGGAAAUCUAAACUGAUCCAAUUGUUUAAUUUAGUUUAAGCCUACAUUUUCUCAGAGGAAUCCCUAACCCAGAUUAAAGAAGUCAUGAGGUUUGAUCCCAUCACCCUUAUAAAUCACACAUGCAAAGCCCAUGCUAUUGUAUUGCUAUUAAUAGCACUGACAUGUAUAUGUAUGCUCAUAAUCUUGUAAAUAUAUAAGAAAAGCAAAAAAUAAACAAACAAAUACAAUA